UACGUAGGGUGCGAGCGUUGUCCGGAAUUACUGGGCGUAAAGAGCUCGUAGGUGGUUUGUCGCGUUGUUCGUGAAAACUCACAGCUUAACUGUGGGCGUGCGGGCGAUACGGGCAGACUGGAGUACUGCAGGGGAGACUGGAAUUCCUGGUGUAGCGGUGGAAUGCGCAGAUAUCAGGAAGAACACCGGUGGCGAAGGCGGCUCUCUGGGCCUUACCUGACGCUGAGGAGCGAAAGCGUGGGUAGCGAACAGG
RNAcentral lists this ribosomal RNA (253 nucleotides) under uncultured bacterium. RNAcentral's name for it is "partial 16S ribosomal RNA". It matches the Rfam family "Bacterial small subunit ribosomal RNA", at positions 524 to 776 of the family's 1533-position model. The record is from RNAcentral.